UACGGAGGGUGCGAGCGUUGUCCGGAAUCACUGGGCGUAAAGGGCGCGUAGGCGGUCCGGUAAGCGCGUGGUGAAAGCCCGGGGCUCAACCCCGGGUCGGCCGUGCGGACUGCGGGACUCGAGCACUGUAGAGGCGGGCGGAAUUCCGGGUGUAGCGGUGGAAUGCGUAGAGAUCCGGAAGAACACCGGUGGCGAAGGCGGCCCGCUGGGCAGGAAAUAGCUGACGCUGAGGCGCGACAGCGUGGGGAGCAAACAGG
This 257-nucleotide ribosomal RNA is filed under the name uncultured bacterium. RNAcentral's name for it is "partial 16S ribosomal RNA". It matches the Rfam family "Bacterial small subunit ribosomal RNA", at positions 524 to 776 of the family's 1533-position model. The record is from RNAcentral.